This 200-nucleotide ribosomal RNA is filed under the name uncultured bacterium. RNAcentral describes it as "partial 16S ribosomal RNA". It matches the Rfam family "Bacterial small subunit ribosomal RNA", at positions 8 to 197 of the family's 1533-position model. The record is from RNAcentral.
AGAGUUUGAUCCUGGCUCAGAACGAACGUUGGCGGCGUGGAUUAGGCAUGCAAGUCGAACGAAUCCCAGUCGCGUAGCAAUACGGGGCUGGGGGAAGUGGCGAAAGGGGCAGUAAGGCAUGGCUAACCUACCUCGGGGACGGGUAUAGCCUCCCUAACGGGAGGGUAAUUCCCGGCGAUUCGGCGGCGGGGCCUCUCGCU